Molecule: ribosomal RNA, 412 nt
Filed under: Verrucomicrobiota bacterium
Lineage: Bacteria; Pseudomonadati; Verrucomicrobiota
Description: Verrucomicrobia bacterium partial 16S ribosomal RNA
Rfam family: Bacterial small subunit ribosomal RNA
Source: RNAcentral
UGGGGAAUUUUGCGCAAUGGGGGAAACCCUGACGCAGCGACGCCGCGUGCGGGAUGAAGGCCUUCGGGUUGUAAACCGCUUUUGUCUGGGAGCAAGCCUUUUGGGUGAGUGUACCUUCCGCAUAAGCGCCGGCUAACUACGCGCCAGCAGUCGCGGGAAUACGUAGGGCGCAAGCGUUAUCCGGAAUUAUUGGGCGUAAAGAGCUUGUAGGCGGUUCGUCGCGUCUGGUGUGAAAGCCCAUCGCUUAACGGUGGGUUUGCGCCGGGAACGGGCGGGCUAGAGUGCAGUAGGGGAGACUGGAAUUCCCGGUGUAACGGUGGAAUGUGUAGAUAUCGGGAAGAACACCAAUGGCGAAAGCAGGUCUCUGGGCUGUUACUGACACUGAGAAGCGAAAGCGUGGGGAGCGAACAGG